RNAcentral lists this long non-coding RNA (368 nucleotides) under Olea europaea subsp. europaea. Lineage: Eukaryota; Viridiplantae; Streptophyta; Magnoliopsida; Lamiales; Oleaceae. The record is from RNAcentral.
CCCAUCGAACUAUGAAUUCAAAGUCAUGAAAUAACAGGUUUAAUAAUAAUUACAUGGUUCAUCGAUCACCUAGUUAUAAAAAUCUAGCCUAUCAUGAUAAAAAUAACGAAAUCUAUCAAGUUUUGAAUAAAAUACAUCACCGGGUUAUCAAAACUUGAAGAAAUCCUGAAGAAAUCUUGUAAAUCUUCGCGUCAAUCCUUGUUCUUGCCUUCAAAUCCUCUCCAAAAUGAAUGUUUUUGCCUCCCAAUUCGUUUCUUCUGGCUUCUGGACAUUUUUUGCUAUUUAAAUCCGUCGAAAUUAGGUUACCAAAGGAGUUGCAAUCAUAUAAGGAAACUGCAAAAAUCGGGCACAGAUUAUACCUAUGCGAC